GUGGCCAUGGUGUAGUCUGGUUAGCACCGGAGAUUGUGGAUCUUCGAGGGUGGGUUCAAAUCCCACUGGCCACC
Molecule: transfer RNA, 74 nt
Filed under: Candidatus Woesearchaeota archaeon B3_Woes
Lineage: Archaea; Nanobdellati; Candidatus Woesearchaeota
Also listed under: 1 other name
Description: tRNA-His
Rfam family: tRNA
About the family: Transfer RNA (tRNA) molecules are approximately 80 nucleotides in length.
Source: RNAcentral